This 460-nucleotide ribosomal RNA is filed under the name uncultured bacterium. RNAcentral's name for it is "partial 16S ribosomal RNA". It matches the Rfam family "Bacterial small subunit ribosomal RNA", at positions 338 to 795 of the family's 1533-position model. The record is from RNAcentral.
CCUACGGGAGGCAGCAGUGAGGAAUAUUGGUCAAUGGACGCAAGUCUGAACCAGCCAUGCCGCGUGCAGGAAGACGGCUCUAUGAGUUGUAAACUGCUUUUGUACGAGGGUAAACGCAGAUACGCGUAUCUGUCUGAAAGUAUCGUACGAAUAAGGAUCGGCUAACUCCGUGCCAGCAGCCGCGGUAAUACGGAGGAUUCAAGCGUUAUCCGGAUUUAUUGGGUUUACAGGGUGCGUAGGCGGUCGGAUAAGUUAGAGGUGAAAUCCCGAGGCUCAACGUCGGAAUUGCCGCGGAUACUGUACGGCUAGAGAGUAGUUGCGGUAGGCGGAAUGUAUGGUGUAGCGGUGAAAUGCUUAGAGAUCAUACAGAAGACCGAUUGCGAAGGCAGCUUACCAAGCUACUUCUGACGUUGAGGCACGAAAGCGUGGGGAGCAAACAGGAUUAGAUACCCGGGUAGUC